UUUUUUUUAAUUUACUAAAAGAGGAAAAGGAACUAACAAGGAUUCCCCUAGUAACUGCGAGUGAAGCGGGAAAAGCUCAAAUUUAAAAUCUGGUAGUCUCUGGCUGCCCGAGUUGUAAUCUGGAGAAGUGUUUUCUGUGCUGGGCCGUGUACAAGUCUCUUGGAAUAGAGCGUCAUAGAGGGUGAGAAUCCCGUCUUUGACACGGACAUCCAGUGCUCUGUGAUGCACUCUCAAAGAGUCGAGUUGUUUGGGAAUGCAGCUCAAAAUGGGUGGUAAAUUCCAUCUAAAGCUAAAUAUUGGCAAGAGACCGAUAGCGAACAAGUACCGUGAGGGAAAGAUGAAAAGAACUUUGGAAAGAGAGUUAAACAGUACGUGAAAUUGUUGAAAGGGAAACGCUUGAAGUCAGUCGCGUCUAGCAAGGAUCAGCCCUUCUCGGAGGGUGUAUUUCUUGCUUGACGGGUCAACAUCAAUUUUGACUACUGGAAAAAGGCCAGGGGAAGGUGGCACCUUCGGGUGUGUUAUAGCCUUUGGUCAUAUACAGUAGUUGGGAUUGAGGAAUUCAGCAUGCCUUCAUGGCUGGGGUUCGCCCACAUUCAUGCUUAGGAUGUUGGCAUAAUGGCUUUAAGCGACCCGCUGAAAAAAGCGGCGGA
Molecule: ribosomal RNA, 650 nt
Filed under: Agroathelia rolfsii
Lineage: Eukaryota; Fungi; Basidiomycota; Agaricomycetes; Amylocorticiales; Amylocorticiaceae
Description: Athelia rolfsii partial large subunit ribosomal RNA
Rfam family: Eukaryotic large subunit ribosomal RNA
Source: RNAcentral